AAGUCGUAACAAGGUUUCCGUAGGUGAAGUUGCCCCUGCGGCUGCUGUCUGUCAGUGUCAGCGGUGGUAGUGGGAUAUCUGCAGUUUGUGUCUGAAAGUGUCAUGAGCUGUGGAUAACUGAUUCGCUAGAUGAGGAGCCCCCUGGUAUCUCACAUGUUUGUUAUGACUCUGUGGGCCUCCUCGCGACCGAUCAGACCGUUUUGGCCACACGCCAAAAUUUUUCGGGCAAGUCUAGGCUGUAAUGGCCCCUGAGUAAACUCCACAAUACCCCAAUUCGGGGGUGAGAGGAAACUCCCACCCCAAAAAAAACCGAACAACUGUUAACAAUGGAUAUCUUGGUUCUC
Molecule: unclassified non-coding RNA, 344 nt
Filed under: fungal sp.
Lineage: Eukaryota; Fungi
Description: partial internal transcribed spacer region
Source: RNAcentral